GUUUCCUUCUAUUAUCACUCAAAGAAAUAUAGAAAACAGAAGCAAAAAGCUUUUAGUGUAAUACAGUGAACACUAUAGGGUCAGGAACACAAACCUGUAUACCUGACCCUAUAGUGUUAAAAUUACUAUCUAGUCCCCUGCUAAAUAUAGUAAAAUCUUACCUUUAUUCCAGUCUGCUGCUGCUGGCUCUACCCCUGAUCUGCCUGCUCGGCUGACAUCAGAAGUGGUGGUCUGAGCCAAUCCCAAUGCUUUCUCAUAGGAAAGUAUUGGAUUCGCUCAGAUUAAGUCAGAUCGGGGCAGAGCCUGCACAAGCCAAACACAGCCCUGUUGAAUCAGCAUCUCCUCCUAGAGAUGCAUUAAGUCAAUGCAUCUCUGAGUACAGUUCAGUGUCUCCAUGCAGAGGGUGGAAACCCUAAAUUUCAGUUACACUUUGAAGCACUACCCUAGGAAGCUCCUCUAGCGGCCAUCUGAGGAGUGGUCAGUGGAGGUAUCCCUAGGCUUUAAUGUAAACACUACAUUUUCUAUGAAAAGACAGUGUUUACUGUAAAAAGCUUGAAAAUAAUGAUUCUACUAACCAGAACAAAUACAAUAAUCUGUAGUUGUUCUGGUGACUAUAUUGUCGCUUUAAAUAUAAGUGAAUAAUGUUCACCUUAUCUAGAGCCCAAUAUGCCUUGCUCUAGAUAUAUCGGCUUGUGUGUCCCUUAUAGGGGGACACUACCCUUCUUGUACAAGGAACCAGAAAUGAAGUCCACCAUGAAAUGUUUACAUUUGGC
Non-coding RNA from Pelobates cultripes (western spadefoot toad), 773 nucleotides. The record is from the annotation of a GenBank genome assembly. Lineage: Eukaryota; Metazoa; Chordata; Amphibia; Anura; Pelobatidae.